GCUUAACACAUGCAAGUCGAACGGUAACAGAAAAAGCUUGCUUUUUGCUGACGAGUGGCGAACGGGUGCGUAACGCGUAUGCAACCUACCUUCUUCUAAGGAAUAGCCCAGAGAAAUUUGGAUUAAUACCUUAUGAUAAUAUUUAUUCGCAUGUUUAAAUAUUUAAAACUCCGGUGGAAGAAGAUGGGCAUGCGUAACAUUAGUUUGUUGGUGAGGUAAUGGCUCACCAAGACUACGAUGUUUAGGGGUUCUGAGAGGAUGAUCCCCCACACUGGUACUGAGACACGGACCAGACUCCUACGGGAGGCAGCAGUGAGGAAUAUUGGUCAAUGGACGAAAGUCUGAACCAGCCAUGCCGCGUGAAGGAUGACGGCCCUACGGGUUGUAAACUUCUUUUGUAUAGGAAGAAACCCCUCUACGUGUAGAGGGCUGACGGUACUAUUCGAAUA
RNAcentral lists this ribosomal RNA (449 nucleotides) under uncultured bacterium. RNAcentral describes it as "bacterial SSU rRNA". It matches the Rfam family "Bacterial small subunit ribosomal RNA", at positions 46 to 488 of the family's 1533-position model. The record is from RNAcentral.